RNAcentral lists this long non-coding RNA (367 nucleotides) under Gossypium barbadense (sea-island cotton). RNAcentral's name for it is "long non-coding RNA (GBAR_LNC023613)". The record is from RNAcentral. Lineage: Eukaryota; Viridiplantae; Streptophyta; Magnoliopsida; Malvales; Malvaceae.
AUCAUCACCAAGGAUUCAACCCAAAUAAUUGCUGAUGCCGCUUCGAAGGAUGAAAUACAAGCUAGGGUGCAACAAUUAAAGAAAGAACUAGCCGAGACAGAUUCUGUUUACGACACAGAAAAACUGGCAGAAAGGAUUGCCAAACUAUCUGGUGGUGUUGCAGUCAUUAAGGUUGGGGCUGCAACUGAGACUGAACUCGAGGAUCGCAAGCUACGUAUCGAAGAUGCCAAGAAUGCUACCUUUGCUGCCAUAGAGGAAGGUAUUGUACCUGGUGGUGGUGCUGCAUUAGUUCAUCUCUCGACUUGCGUCCCUGCAAUUAAGGAUAAGCUUGAAGACUCUGAAGAGCGCAUAGGAGCCGACAUUGUGC